Long non-coding RNA from Triticum dicoccoides, 4465 nucleotides. RefSeq lists it as uncharacterized. Lineage: Eukaryota; Viridiplantae; Streptophyta; Magnoliopsida; Poales; Poaceae. The transcript is spliced from 2 exons. The record is from RefSeq and is a predicted model, not a curated record.
UUACUCCCGCACCAGCCGUCACACAUCCCUAGGCCUCCUUGCACUUUGUUCCCCGCCCGCUCGUCCCUCGGUUCUCCUCAUCCCUCCUCUGCUCUAGCUGCUACGCCGCCUCUCCCUCCACAACGCGGCCAGCUCGAGCUCCACCUCCUCCAUCUCAAGGAGACGACUGCACAAGACGUCCGGCGCCGUCACCAUCGUCCUUGGCACAACUGAAGCACGUGAUGCUUGCUGCGUCGUCGUCGUCCUUUCUCUCGCUGCCACCACCACCCUGACCGAGCCAUCCCCGUGCUCUCGCUGAGCCUUCCCCUCCUGGGUCACUGACCCAGGUGGCGGAGAAGGAGAGGGUGAGCUCGAGGGGCUGGCAAGGGAGGAGGGGGUUGACGGGGUCUGAUCUGGUGGCGGCAGAUUGGAGCUCGAGCUCGAGGCGGAGACAAGGAAGGUCGGAAAAUGAAGAGAUGGGAUGAAGGUGCUCGAGGCGAAGGACCGCUCAUCGGCGAGUUCUAGCUGGAGGCGGCGAGAUCCCUCUCCCAAUCUCUCAUUCUCUUGAUUUUCCCUCUCCAAACCUUCAUCUCUGUUCUCGCGCGUUGCACACGUCUGCUCCCCCUCACCACAACCAGCGUCGGUAGCCUGCAUCCCCCAUCAAGCGUGCAUCAGCGCUGGAUGUGCAAGCUUCAACGACCGCAUCAACAACGAUGGUGGGCAGGAAAGGAGUGAGAUGGCGGUCAUGAUUUUCAGUCUGAAGUUGCUUUUACGAACUUUCAAUCAAUUCAAGCAGGGGAAGAUAAUGGUAACCAAGGCCACCUUUGUUGGUCAUGGAUUUAGAAGAAAGCCAACAGACUAUGAAAAGGUUCUCAUGGGACUCACCUUGAACUGAAAUCUUUGUUCAACCUUGGUAUAAUUCUGUGACAGAAACCCCAGGUGGUCCAAUAUUUUGUUUGUUUCUUUAGUGCCUGUUGUUUUUGGUUUGUUAUAACCGAAUUUACAGCCUACAAUACAUGCAUUUCUUUUAUUCUGUUUUGGUGGGUUCUAAACUAUGAAAUUAGGAAACAUAUAGUUUAUUAGUUUGACACCUGCUCCAGGAUAAAUAAUGGAAGGAAGAAUUCUUACUUCAUGGUGACACACAUGACUGUCAAACUGCAGAAAAUACUUGAUUUAUGUACUGUAUGAUUCCCGAGUUCCUUUGCUUUCAAGAUUUAAGUGGGGAGAACUUAUGAGCUUAUAAAUGAGUGAUUCGGAUUUGUCUAAUUGAGAACUAGCAAAUCAUGAAGAGUAAGGGUUUUCUACUCGUAUAGACUGGUUGGUCGAUUGCAUCUUGAUACAUCAUACCUUAAACAUCAUAACUUCUAAUUGGGGGACCAGGUUGAUGCCCUGUCUGAUGAGAAUCUUUUGGGAUGCACGGGCAUAUGCUUCCACCACUAUAUACAAUGAGUACAACAUUUAACAUGGGCAUGAUGUUAAAUUAGAGUGAAUCUAAGGGCCUACUGGGUGCAUAAUCUGUGGCUAAAUUAUUUUAGAUUUUUUGUGUGUGUGCGAGGAGCAGUUCUACUACCUCUUCAUGGUUCGUCAUUUACAUAUUAGUUGGAUGAUAUCUCUUUAUUCUGUUGUUGUGACUGACCAGCUGCUUACUUAUAUGGAUAACUUGAACUGAAAGCAAGAGUAGAAGCCCAUGAGAUGAGACACAAGGAAAAUAUGCAUGUUAUUUUCAAUUCUAAUGUUUCAGUUCCAUAUUCUCCUACUUGACUGGAUAUGUGAUGUAUAUACUGAUUUCCUGCUACUAUUUGAGUUAUAACACUUUUUAUGUUUCUCUGGCAGAAAAUGGCACAAUCAUGAUUCAGUUUGGUCAGCAAGUACCUAAUUACAAGUCAUCAGCUAGCGAUUCUUCCCAAGAAGUGUUCGGAAUGAGAAAUGAAGCUUUAAUGAGAAGAAUAUUGAUGUUGUACAAUAGCCGUAAGAUCACAAGAGAUUGACCUUUUGGGUGGUCUAAUACUUCCUAUAUGGGCACAUAGAAAAGCCACUACGCAAGUAGUUCAGUCUUUUCUUUAAAAACUGCUUUCUCUUACUACACAACCAGGCUCAAUUCAUAUGUAUGUAAAUUUUACAUCAUACUUCUUCCAUUCCCAAAACAAGGGUAUUAUUUCUCCCCUUCCCUAAUCAGUGUUUCAGACCUUUUUUGAGUUGAGAAUCUCACCUACAGCACAUCAAUUGUCUGUAAAUAAAUGUAACAUGAAUCACUCUCCAAAAUCCUUGAAACUUGAGCUUCGAUGAAUAUGAAGGUCUUUGUGUUGGCAUACACUCCUUUAUUCCAAAUGGUGCUGAUAUAAAAACACCAUCAGGGAUUCCAUGUGUACCAUGUAUGUCCAUAAAAACAGCAUUGAUAUAUCAGCACACUAAUGUGCUGAUCUAAAAACAUUUUUUUCUAAGUGACGGUUUCGAGUCGGCAAAAAUAUAGUGUAUGUCCAUAAUGUGAUGGCAACUGAGUAUCCAUGUGUACAGGGAAGGCAUCAGUCUAUAUCGAAAAACACCAGCAAUUUUAUCCUAAUUGUUAAUGAAAUUGUUGUUUAUUGCUUCAUAUUGCCAAUUGCACCUGCUUACAUAUAUCCUUAAGUUUACUACCUCCUGUCCUUAGAAGCAUCAGUUUGUCCUUAUUUUUUGUAUGCUCUGUUUCAUCUAAAUUGCGUACAUCCAUUUCCAACAGAACUAGGGGAGUCCGUAUAAAUUAGAUAUGUUCCUUUUCUUCUCAACAGGUGUCUAUUAUGAGUACUGCAAUUUAGACAUGAUUAAGAAUGGUACUGGAGUUUGCCUAUCUAUCAUGGUUUUUUAGUUCUGCUUAGUUGAUGGCCUCACGUAAUGUGCCUCCAUGGAUGGAGCUCUCCGGGUCUGCCUUGUUGAAUGUUCUACCAUGGAUGGAGCUUUUACUGAUACCCUUUCUGAAUAGCUGAUAUUUAUUGUACCUCAUUUUCGCUCCUAGUUGGCGGGGAACCCCUCCUGGUCGAGCCCCUAGCCCCCCACCUUGGCAACUGCCUGGAGAGGUGGAUAGCUCGAGGACAACUCCCAAUGUGCCGAGGAGAUGGGAACAUGUGAGCUUCUUUGUUUCUUUCUUCCUUCUUUCCUCAUCUUCCCAACCUACAAUUUGUUUUCUAAUUUCUCUACAAGUUUUUCACGGGGUAUUUUAGGCUAUAGCUUGAUUUGGCACUAUCGUGAAGUGGGGUAAUUUUCCAUAUUGAUAUGGUUGGUAUGCACAUCCCACUAAGAAGCAAGGCGCAAUAAAAGCUCAUUCUCCAUUUUGCAAAGGUUCCUUUUAGUAACUGAUGCGUCCAUGUUGAUGCAGCUACAACUAUGGUAAUGUAGUUUAUACUGCAGGGUCCAUGAUGCCUUUCUAAGUAAUUUUACCGCAGAUAUUGUAGGGUGUUGUGUCGCUUAGCAAACUUGACUCCAGUAUAUGAAACUUUCAGAGUUCUAAUUCGUCUGUGUUAUAACAGAUUUGGUUUGAUCAAUUCAAAUUUCUUAUUAAGGCAUGUAUACACAAAUUGCAGGGUGUAUUAGCGCUUAGGAAACUUGCUUUUAGUAUGCAUUAUUUUCAAGCUUCAAGGCGUAUUAUUAUUCAUUUUUAUGUUAGUUGUCUGUACUUGGCCUACAUUUUUGUUUUCAAAUAGUUCUGCCUCUCAAUUUGAUAUUUCUAUUUGCUUUUGCUUAGUAAUAUGAUGUAUUGUUUUCUUGCUCUAGGCCUACUUGUGUUCAAGGUUUAAUUGAUUGUGUUUCUUAAGGGUGUUUUUUAAUGGCAUCAACAUGUGGCACUAAUUCCAUUCUGCAUUGUACUGUGAUUUUUCCAAGCAACACCAUUAUGCCAAAAUUUUGCUCCAUUUUAAGUUUCACUUGGAUCACCAGCCUACUUUUUCUCACCUCAUCAUCAUGGCCUUUCUUAAGGGUGUUCAGGAAUUUUUGUCCUUCUGUAAAUUAGUGGCAUUAAAUUAGUGGUCUUCUAUUCGUGUUGCGAAACCCAAUAUGGCAUCUCACCAUUCCCCAUGAUCCACAUGUUAACUGUGGAUUUAUUUAAUGAUAAUAGGAUAUCAAUUGCCUUUUCUUCAGGAUAAGCUGACACCUAAUAAGGAUUAGGAGAACAACAGGUAUGCUAAGAGACAACCUUUUGGGGUUAAGGAUAUAAACAACAACAGGGCUUAUGAGGCCGAAGAGAGCUCGGGUGGCGUCUUUUGGUUCUUGAAGACCUGCACGUUCCUGGUGGAGUGGAGCAAAAUAAUUUGGAGGCCUUAAAGCUACUGCACUUCAUCUAGUUAGGAUCAAUUCUUUGUUUCAGUUUGAAAUAUUCCCCAGUUCCUCCUAUUUGAUUGAUUCAUCUGAUGGACAUUUUGUCAGGCAAAUAAACAAAAGGCAUAUGUAUUGUUAUGAGUGAAGCCAUCCAUACUCCCAUGUGGGAUUCAAGAAAUAGAGAAAUGUUAUUGUUCUUCUA